GAUGAACGCUGGCGGCGUGCCUAAUACAUGCAAGUCGAGCGAACAGAUAAGGAGCUUGCUCCUUUGACGUUAGCGGCGGACGGGUGAGUAACACGUGGGUAACCUACCUAUAAGACUGGGAUAACUUCGGGAAACCGGAGCUAAUACCGGAUAAUAUUUCGAACCGCAUGGUUCGAUAGUGAAAGAUGGUUUUGCUAUCACUUAUAGAUGGACCCGCGCCGUAUUAGCUAGUUGGUAAGGUAACGGCUUACCAAGGCGACGAUACGUAGCCGACCUGAGAGGGUGAUCGGCCACACUGGAACUGAGACACGGUCCAGACUCCUACGGGAGGCAGCAGUAGGGAAUCUUCCGCAAUGGGCGAAAGCCUGACGCAGCAACGCCGCGUGAGUGAUGAAGGUCUUCGGAUCGUAAAACUCUGUUAUUAGGGAAGAACAUACGUGUAAGUAACUGUGCACGUCUUGACGGUACCUAAUCAGAAAGCCACGGCUAACUACGUG
This 497-nucleotide ribosomal RNA is filed under the name uncultured bacterium. RNAcentral's name for it is "partial 16S ribosomal RNA". It matches the Rfam family "Bacterial small subunit ribosomal RNA", at positions 28 to 507 of the family's 1533-position model. The record is from RNAcentral.